GGUAAAUAGGGUUUUACCCCCCUGCAAAAUAAGUCAAUUUUGCAUUACCCCCUGCAAAAAAAAAACUUGGGAUUACCCCCUGCAAUAUUAAGAUUCUCUCUUUUUACCCCCUGCUUGACAACUUGACAUAAAAUCUUUAUUUUUUAUGAGGUGGCAUGCAUAUGUGACAUUUAAUUUUUUUUUAAUUUUUUUUAAUUUGCACAUGUCAUUUUUAUUAUUAAAUAAACUAAAAAUUAAAAAAAUAAU
RNAcentral lists this long non-coding RNA (246 nucleotides) under Trifolium pratense (red clover). RNAcentral describes it as "long non-coding RNA (TPRA_LNC001877)". Lineage: Eukaryota; Viridiplantae; Streptophyta; Magnoliopsida; Fabales; Fabaceae. The record is from RNAcentral.